RNAcentral lists this ribosomal RNA (270 nucleotides) under uncultured archaeon. RNAcentral describes it as "partial 16S ribosomal RNA". It matches the Rfam family "Archaeal small subunit ribosomal RNA", at positions 477 to 747 of the family's 1478-position model. The record is from RNAcentral.
CUGCAGCCCGAGUGAUGAUCGAUUUUAUUGAGCCUAAAGCGUCCGUAGCCGGACUAGUAAACCCUUGGGUAAACUGGGCAGCUUAACUGUCCAAAUUCCGAGGGGACUGCUAGUCUUGGGACCGGGAGAGGUCAGAGGUACUCAAGGGGUAGGGGCUAAAUCCUGUAAUCCUUUGGGGACCACCAGUGGCGAAGGCGUCUGACUAGAACGGAUCCGACGGUAAGGGACGAAACCCUGGGGCGCGAACCGGAUUAGAUACCCGAGUAGUCC